GACGAACGCUGGCGGCGUGCUUAACACAUGCAAGUCGAGCGGAAAGGCCCUUCGGGGUUCUCGAGCGGCGAACGGGUGAGUAACACGUGAGUAACCUGCCCCAGACUUUGGGAUAACCCUCGGAAACGGGGGCUAAUACCGGAUACGACACAGCUUCGCAUGGGGUCUGUGUGGAAAGUUUUUCGGUUUGGGAUGGGCUCGCGGCCUAUCAGCUUGUUGGUGGGGUGAUGGCCUACCAAGGCGACGACGGGUAGCCGGCCUGGGAGGGCGACCGGCCACACUGGGACUGAGACACGGCCCAGACGCCUACGGGAGGCAGCAGUGGGGAAUAUUGCACAAUGGGCGGGAGCCUGAUGCAGCGACGCCGCGUGAGGGAUGACGGCCUUCGGGUUGUAAACCUCUUUCAGCAGGGACGAAGCGUAAGUGACGGUACCUGCAGAAGAAGCGCCGGCCAACUACGUG
Molecule: ribosomal RNA, 462 nt
Filed under: uncultured bacterium
Lineage: Bacteria
Description: partial 16S ribosomal RNA
Rfam family: Bacterial small subunit ribosomal RNA
Source: RNAcentral